Molecule: ribosomal RNA, 508 nt
Filed under: uncultured bacterium
Lineage: Bacteria
Description: partial 16S ribosomal RNA
Rfam family: Bacterial small subunit ribosomal RNA
Source: RNAcentral
GAUGAACGCUAGCUACAGGCUUAACACAUGCAAGUCGAGGGGAAACGACAUCGAAAGCUUGCUUUUGAUGGGCGUCGACCGGCGCACGGGUGAGUAACGCGUAUCCAACCUGCCCACCACUUGGGAAUAACCUUGCGAAAGUAAGACUAAUACCCAAUGAUAUCUCUAGAAGACAUCUGAAAGAGAUUAAAGAUUUAUCGGUGAUGGAUGGGGAUGCGUCUGAUUAGCUUGUUGGCGGGGUAACGGCCCACCAGGGCUACGAUCAGUAGGGGUUCUGAGAGGAAGGUCCCACACAUUGGAACUGAGACACGGUCCAAACUACUACGGGAGGCAGCAGUGAGGAAUAUUGGUCAAUGGGCGAGAGCCUGAACCAGCCAAGUAGCGUGCAGGAUGACGGCCCUAUGGGUUGUAAACUGCUUUUAUAGGGGAAUAAAGUGAGCCUCGUGAGGCUUUUCGCAUGUACCUUAUGAAUAAGGACCGGCUAAUUCCGUGCCAGCAGCCGCCGUAA